Molecule: ribosomal RNA, 626 nt
Filed under: uncultured archaeon
Lineage: Archaea
Description: bacterial SSU rRNA
Rfam family: Archaeal small subunit ribosomal RNA
Source: RNAcentral
UAUCGUAUUGGUACUAAGCCAUGCGAGUCGUUGUACAAUACAGGGCGGACUGCUCAGUAACACGUAGUUAACUUAACCUAUGGAUGGGAAUAACCUCGGGAAACUGAGAAUAAUACCCAAUAGAUCACAGUGCCUGGAAUGGCCUGUGAUUGAAAUGAUUUAUCGCUGUAGGAUGGGACUGCGGCCUAUCAGCUUGUUGGUGAGGUAAUGGCCCACCGAGGCUAUAACAGGUACGGGCUCUGAGAGGAGGGGCCCGGAGAUGGGUACUGAGACACGGACCCAGGCCCUAUGGGGCGCAGCAGGCGAGAAACCUUUGCAAUGUGCGAAAGCACGACAAGGUUAAUCCGAGUGUCUCCUGCUAAAGGAGUCUUUUGUCAGUUGUAGAAUCACUGGUGAAUAAGGGGUGGGCAAGUUCUGGUGUCAGCCGCCGCGGUAAAACCAGCACCUCGAGUGGUCAGGAGGUUUAUUGGGCCUAAAGCAUCCGUAGCCGGUUGCAUAAGUUUACGGUUAAAUCUAUGCGCUCAACGUAUAGGCCGACGAAAAUACUGUGCAGCUAGGGAGUGGGAGAGGUACCCGGUACUCACUAGCGCGGGGUCAUUCUUUGAUCUUUGAUGACCCCUGUGGCC